CCUACGGGAGGCAGCAGUGAGGGAUAUUGCACAAUGGAGGAGACCCUGAUGCAGUGACGCCGCGUGAAGGAUGAAGGCAUUCGGUGUUGAAAGCUCUAUCAACAAAGAAGAAAAAGGCGGUACGUGAGUCAGAAGCCACGGCUAACUACAUGCCAGCAGCCGCGGUAAUACGUAGGGAGCAAGCGUUAUCCGGAUGUACUGGGUGUAAAGGGAGCGUAGACGGCGAAUAAAGUCUGAAGUGAAAGCCCGCGGCUUAACCGCGGAACUGCUUUGGAAACUUGCUGGCUGGAGUACAGGAGAGGUAAGCGGAAUUCCUAGUGUAGCGGUGAAAUGCUUAGAUAUCAGGAGGAACACCAGUGGCGAAGGCGGCUUACUGAACGGUAACUGACGUUGAGGCUCGAAAGCGUGGGGAGCAAACAGGAUUAGAUACCCUAGUAGUC
Molecule: ribosomal RNA, 440 nt
Filed under: uncultured bacterium
Lineage: Bacteria
Description: partial 16S ribosomal RNA
Rfam family: Bacterial small subunit ribosomal RNA
Source: RNAcentral